ACAUCUUCCGGAUGACGAAGAUAACUUCCGGAAGACCAUGACAUCAUCCGGAAGAUGAAGACGUCUUCCGGAAGAUGAAGACGUCUUCCGGAAGAUAAAGACGUCUUCCGGAAGAUGAAUAGCAGCUGCAAUGGAUUCCGACCCGGGGCGUCUCAGCCAAUGGGAGUUCCGCGUCUCCUGCCAGGAGCUCAUUCGACACUCUGACGUCAUCGGCGACGGGUGGGCGUGGCGAGGGGGUGAUGAAGAAGGGUUCCUGGCCAAGACAAGGUGGGAGGAGGUCAAUUCGUGUGAUGAGGUGAGACCAGUUGUG
This is a non-coding RNA of Petromyzon marinus (sea lamprey), 310 nucleotides long. The record is from RefSeq and is a predicted model, not a curated record. NCBI's taxonomy places the organism in Eukaryota, Metazoa, Chordata, Hyperoartia, Petromyzontiformes, Petromyzontidae.